Molecule: ribosomal RNA, 440 nt
Filed under: uncultured bacterium
Lineage: Bacteria
Description: partial 16S ribosomal RNA
Rfam family: Bacterial small subunit ribosomal RNA
Source: RNAcentral
CCUACGGGAGACAGCAGUCGAGAAUCAUUCACAAUGGGGGAAACCCUGAUGCAGCGACGCCGCGUGAGUGAAGAAGUAAUUCGUUAUGUAAAGCUCUAUCAGCAGGGAAGAAAAUGACGGUACCUGAGUAAGAAGCCCCGGCUAACUACGUGCCAGCAGCCGCGGUAAUACGUAGGGGGCAAGCGUUAUCCGGAUUUACUGGGUGUAAAGGGAGCGUAGACGGCAGUGCAAGUCUGGAGUGAAAGGCGGGGGCUCAACCCCCGGACUGCUCUGGAAACUGGACGGCUGGAGUGCAGGAGAGGUAAGUGGAAUUCCGAGUGUAGCGGUGAAAUGCGUAGAUAUUCGGAGGAACACCGGUGGCGAAGGCGGCCAACUGGGCUUUAACUGACGCUGAGGCUCGAAAGUGUGGGGAGCAAACAGGAUUAGAUACCCUUGUAGUC